RNAcentral lists this ribosomal RNA (424 nucleotides) under uncultured bacterium. RNAcentral describes it as "bacterial SSU rRNA". It matches the Rfam family "Bacterial small subunit ribosomal RNA", at positions 361 to 776 of the family's 1533-position model. The record is from RNAcentral.
AUCUUGCACAAUGGGGGCAACCCUGAUGCAGCGAUGCCGCGUGAGUGAAGAAGGCCUUCGGGUUGUAAAGCUCUUUCGAUUGGGAAGAAGGGUUUUUAAGUGAAUAAUUUAAGAAUCUGACGGUACCUAGAGAAGAAGCACCGGCUAACUCCGUGCCAGCAGCCGCGGUAAUACGGAGGGUGCAAGCGUUGUUCGGAAUUCCUGGGCGUAAAGCGCACGUAGGCGGGUUCGUAAGUCGAUUGUGAAAGCCCCGGGCUCAAUCCGGGAAUUGCAGUCGAAACUACGAGUCUUGAAUACCUGAGAGGGUGACGGAAUUCCUGGUGUAGAAGUGAAAUUCGUAGAUAUCAGGAGGAACACCGGAGGCGAAGGCGGUUGCCUGGCAGUGUAUUGACGCUGAGGUGCGAAAGCGUGGGGAGCAAACAGG